AUCCAGGAUGUUUUAAAGAAAGGUCUGGUCAAGAGUUCUCUAGACCGGCGAGCAUGCAUGGAGUCUUUGAUGAGAGUGGAACAAGUGAAAGUGGUGUGCCACGAUCGUAAAAGGGUCCCAAAUUCGUGUGUGCCCAAGGGCCCCAGCCUAGUUUAAGACGGCGCUGUCUAUGACGGCAAGCGGAAUCGCAGUGGCCAGUUCCUCAGAUACAAAUUCAAAAAUAUCUUUAUUCAAUAGGUAACAUAGUUACACUUUGAAUCGUCAAUGUUUACAUAACGAACGUAUCAUCCGCCUAAAUCUACUGCAGCUUCUCACAACCUGUAUAGCCGGGGAAAAGAAGCCGCAAGAAAAACCUCGGCACAAGGCCCUAGACGUUCUUUUAAAAAAAAUAUGUUCAGAAAGAAAUAUGUUCAAAGAUGUUCAGAAAAGACAUAUGAAAAAAUGCAACAUUGGGCCUUCUCGCUCGGAACCUCAUGCGAGUAACCGCCCAGAAUGGCAACGUUUGAUGCAUAAUGUCUACACAUUUGAAAAUGAAAGAAGGCGCGAACUGGACGAGUGUUAGCAAAUCUACAAUAAAACGUAAAUAUUAGUAAACGUUAUUUUAAACGGUAUAAUAUUUUAACACCCACAUCUUUAUGAAUUGACAGACUUUACAAUCUAAUGACAGAAGCAUAAUAUAAAAAUAAUUGUCACUUGAUAUUUAGAUCACAAUAUGUAUAGAAUUAUGCCUGGGUGUAAUAAUGAGAUCAUUUAUACCGAAAAACAUAGACAGAAGUCGCAUAAAUGUCUGUUAUCCAUGAAAUUAGAAGGUUAAACGAAGGAAAAAAUAAUUUCUGAGUGCAUCUGAGUAUGUAUGGACAUUUAAAAUGUUUUAUGUUCAAUUGUGGCAGCAUUUUAUUGGCAUUUGUUUGUGUUUACAAGUAUCCGUUUUGUAAAAAAAGGAUGUAAGGUACCCAAAUAAAAUCUUCACAGCGCCAUCUA
Pectinophora gossypiella (pink bollworm) is the source of this 981-nucleotide long non-coding RNA. RefSeq lists it as uncharacterized. The record is from RefSeq and is a predicted model, not a curated record. The transcript is spliced from 2 exons. NCBI's taxonomy places the organism in Eukaryota, Metazoa, Arthropoda, Insecta, Lepidoptera, Gelechiidae.